GCUUGUCUCACUAGAACAUUCUCCGAGUUCUUUAUAUACUCAGAAUUAUACCUUGAGGGAGGUCAGCGUAACAUGGGCCUCAGAGAGACCCUCCUCUCCCCAUCUGGAUCCUCUCCAGGAGGAUCUUCACACCUCAUGCUUGUCCUCUUUGAGUCCUUGUCAUGAGGACUGUCUCUAGUUCUGGUGACCUACUCACACUUUGCAAACCACCCUAAGAGCUAAUCUUCACAGAUGCCUAAGUAUAUCUCUGUAUAACUUGGCUGCAUCUUUCCUAGCAGGGAGCAGAAACUUGAGAGUGUGUAAGUUGUAAUGUGUCCUACCCCGGAUCCCAUGAUGCAAGGGAAAGGCGAAGCUGAGGAGGUACAGCAAGGUGUCUUCAGUGGACACAGACUGAAGCUGGCUCUAACCACGUGCAUCUGGCGAUGGAAUUGGCAGCUCAAGGGCAGGCUGCCAUAUGCCUUCCAAGGUCCCUCUGGUGUAACAGAACAAGGAUGACUGCAUUGCUCCAGCCCCUGGGAUAAUAACGCACCUGCUCGUUUGCAGUAGAUUGGGCAUGAGAAAGGAGGUGAAUGCCACAGUCAGUUCAGUCCCAGGCUAAUCAUUACAAUUAUCGGAGGCAUACCGCAUUGUGUGGGGACAAAAGUCCCUUCCUCUGGUGUCCCCGAGCUGGCUUUGUGGUGUGGGUGACACUUAAGGCUGGCCGUGAAGGAGAAAGGAAACACCUGUGUGAUGGUUAGUUCGCUAACUUGAUGCUGCUGUAACAGGCACGGGGUGGGGGUGAGGCAUUUCCUUGAUUAAUGACUGAUGUGGGAGGGCCCAGCCCAUUGUGGGCACUGCUACCCCUGGGCAGGAUCAGCACCCCUUUAUGAUCUCUGCUUCAGUUCCUGCCUCCAGGUUCCUGCUUUGACUACCUUCCAUGAUAACGUGCUAGUGAGACGUCUGUGUGAAAACCCUUUCCUACCUGAGCUGCUUUCAGCCAUGGUCUUUACCAUAGCAAUAGGAAGUAAAAUCAAAUGGCUGGACUACGGAGAGAUGUUUGGCAAUUGUCUGAGAAGCCGUGGGCACGAUCCUAUUUGCUCUUUCUUCUUCCUCUCUGCUUCUGGAUGAGCCAUUUUGCAAAACUUGAUGUGAGGUCAUGGGUUAAAAGGACAUACCUCUCAGCAGGUGGUCAGGGCAGUGGUGGUUCCAGAAGCAUCUACAGUAUGCCAGAGGCCCCGUAUGGAAGGGAAGCCCAGCUUUGUCUUGGUUUGUUGUCAUAGGCACCUGCCACGGGUACAGGAUUGGUCCAUGUUCCCUCAUAGAACCUUGCUCUGUUCCUCUGUGGAUGUCACAUCGUGGGUCAGUCCAGUGGCCGUCCUGCUGACAGAGAAGCGAUGGUUGCUUCAGAAGUGUGAUUUUGCAGAACUUUAACUACACAGGCUGACAAAACCCUAACCAAGAGUGCACAGUCUUCCUUUAUCAUCAGCUACCUUAGAACUGCCGGCCUUCAGAGUGCUGUGGACAGGGUCUGGUUCCCAGGCUGUUCCCAGCACAGAGGACGCCCUCCCCCCACUGCACCAAAGCCUGUGUUAGCAGCUGGAGGCAGUUCCACCUGUGGGCCUUUUAGCCUUUCUUCGCAUUUUUCUGCCUUUAACAACACAGCGAGUGAGGGUCUACUGUUUCUACUUAAUUUCUGAAUAUUUGUCUACUAUCACACAGCAUUUGUGAUAAGAUCCAUUUCCCGUUCAACAGCUUCAAACUUAGCACCUGAGGCAACUUUCUGUCUUAGUGGGACACAGAUGAGAGUGAGCCCUGGAAUUGAUGGGGUCUUAGGCUCGCUCUAAAAUACCCUUGUGGGCAUGCUGUCUCAAGCUCCUGAAGGUGGGGUCCCUCCUCUCCUCUCUCUCUCUCAUGCCCACUCCCCCCUCAAUUAUCUGGGAGAAAAGGAUAACGGUAAGUGGACAGGAGAUUUUACAAAUCCGGAUUUAUUCUUAGAAAAUACGCAGGCUUAUAUUUUUAUUUUAUCAUGCCUUUGGGGUGUCUUCUGUGGAUUCCCUCUCCCCCCUCUCCUCCCUCUCCCUUUUCUUUUCACCUUUCUCCCUUCCUAUUUUCUUCCUCCUAUACCCUUCUACACCCCUAUGUUCUCUCCUCCCUGCCCCACCCCACCCUUCCUCCUUUAUAGCCCAGUCUCACCCCUUCAGAACAUGUCGGUAAAACACAAAUCUCAGAACAGUCUGCUGGGGGCAACUCACUCAGCCUUAUGUGUUGGCCUCUUGGUGAAGCUAGCGUGGACCACGUGUCAUGUCUGCAGUGCCUGGGUCUCUGGAAUCACAAUGUUCAGGCCAUAGGCAGCUGUGUUACCUAGGAUGCAGUGCAGGGCAUCUGUCUCUUUUGACCAUGCUCACCAAGGCUAGAGGACCACGGGCAUCAGUGGAGCUGUGGAGUGUGGAGGGAUCAGGGAGUGUGGUCCCCACACUGGGCCAUGCUGCCCUAUUCUGCAGUAGUCCCUGAGGUGCUUGGUUGGUUGUGUGCCUUUUCUUGGAGGGACAUCUGGUCUGACAGAUGGGUCCCUGUUUGUUUUCCAGUGCAGUGACAGGUCAUUUCUGCAUACACAACUGUAGGGACUAAAGGACUCUAGAGAGAUGCAAACCUGCUUCAGGACUGCCACCAGAAGGAAAUUGGAGCCCAUUUUUACACACUCAGCUGGAGAUGGUAAAGUCUGCCCCUGGUCUCUGAAAUUCCUUCUGGGACCUUUGGGACAGAAGGGACGUGGC
This 2753-nucleotide long non-coding RNA is filed under the name Mus musculus (house mouse). RNAcentral describes it as "long non-coding RNA chr8:11996536-11999289". The record is from RNAcentral. Lineage: Eukaryota; Metazoa; Chordata; Mammalia; Rodentia; Muridae.